This 379-nucleotide ribosomal RNA is filed under the name uncultured cyanobacterium. RNAcentral's name for it is "bacterial SSU rRNA". It matches the Rfam family "Bacterial small subunit ribosomal RNA", at positions 376 to 770 of the family's 1533-position model. Lineage: Bacteria; Bacillati; Cyanobacteriota. The record is from RNAcentral.
CGAAAGCCUGACGGAGCAAGACCGCGUGGGGGAGGAAGGCUCUUGGGUUGUAAACCCCUUUUCUCAGGGAAGAAGUUCUGACGGUACCUGAGGAAUCAGCCUCGGCUAACUCCGUGCCAGCAGCCGCGGUAAUACGGAGGAGGCAAGCGUUAUCCGGAAUUAUUGGGCGUAAAGCGUCCGCAGGUGGCUAGUCAAGUCGGUGGUCAAAGCACAGGGCUCAACUCUGUAAAGGCCGGCGAAACUGACAGGCUAGAGUGCGGUAGGGGCAGAGGGAAUUCCCGGUGUAGCGGUGAAAUGCGUAGAUAUCGGGAAGAACACCAGUAGCGAAAGCGCUCUGCUGGGCCGCAACUGACACUGAGGGACGAAAGCUAGGGGAGCG